AGUUGCAGGGCAGCGGCCCUCCAGGACUGGACUUUGACAUCUGAGGUCCAGAGUGUCGUCCUAUCAGAAAUCCACCAGCGGGUGGUGCAGUAGUUGACGGCAGCGUAUUCGAUGACAGACAGGAAGACAAACAGGAAGCUGGUCCACAGAUAGACUCAAUGUAAAGGUGUGAGAGGUGGUGACAUCAUAACGUCAUUAUUUAAAAGAAGAAAUAACCCAAAGUAUCUGCCGUGCUGUGAUGGAGGGUAUA
Poecilia latipinna (sailfin molly) is the source of this 250-nucleotide long non-coding RNA. RefSeq lists it as uncharacterized. The record is from RefSeq and is a predicted model, not a curated record. Lineage: Eukaryota; Metazoa; Chordata; Actinopteri; Cyprinodontiformes; Poeciliidae. The transcript has 3 exons.